Long non-coding RNA from Ostrea edulis (European flat oyster), 843 nucleotides. RefSeq lists it as uncharacterized. The transcript is spliced from 3 exons. NCBI's taxonomy places the organism in Eukaryota, Metazoa, Mollusca, Bivalvia, Ostreida, Ostreidae. The record is from RefSeq and is a predicted model, not a curated record.
CAACGGAAUCCGUUCUAAAUCAACGGAUAAACGGACCGUUGAAAAUCAACGGAAAAUAGUUCUGAUAACUAUUAACAAGAAAACAUUACGUUAUUUUCAUAAAACAUAUUAAAAUAAUACAAGUUUAAUUCAUUUGUAAAUGUAAAAUAAAUUAAUUACCUUAAAACUCAUUAUUCUUUCUAUCCGUGAAUGCAAGAAUAUCUCUUGGCGGAUCAAAGAAGUAAAGCGGAAAUAGACCAUAAUGCAAUGCGCCGACAUUAAAAAUAGAACGAAACCUGUCUGCAGCCUAACAACAUGUGUUUACAAGAAACAGCUGUGAUGCGCUUUCACUUUUGAAAGUUGAAGACGCAGUUGUUGAAGACCGGCUUUGAAAGAUAUACUGUGGACAUUACGGAGUUAACAGAAGGAACAUGAAGAACAGGGCGGCAGUCGUCAGAUGUAGGCAAAUCAUUUAUAGACAGGACAGAGGACGCAGCUCAUAUGACUAUCCUGAAAGAACUGACAUCGCAGAGAAUGUGGAAGUGCACGAGUGUUUUCAACGACGUCUCGACGCCCCGACAUAAACUUGGAAACUGACAUCAACUCAUGGCUGCUGUGGCACGGAGGCAGUAUGGUGUGUAGGUCUUAAUGCACUUUGACGACUUAUCGGCCAUUAAUCCUGUGAAUGACCUUUUUGCUAAAGCCCAAUGUCAUCGUCUAGUAGUACGUACAAUUCCGCAUCACCGAUGACCAGGGUGAAAUUGUAGCAGACGAAAUUUUAGACAUAUAUUGAUAAGACAUUGUUUUAUCAAUUAUUGAUGCAACUCCACUGCCUGGAAUACAAAUAAAAUCAUAAAUACAUUU